This 60-nucleotide microRNA precursor is filed under the name Drosophila ananassae. Its description in RNAcentral is "Dan-Mir-29-P2g_pre stem-loop". The record is from RNAcentral. Lineage: Eukaryota; Metazoa; Arthropoda; Insecta; Diptera; Drosophilidae.
GCCCGGAUUCUGUGGGAGCUGCGCCGUUCUUUCUAUCCGUAGCACCACAUGAUUCGGCUU